Molecule: ribosomal RNA, 630 nt
Filed under: uncultured fungus
Lineage: Eukaryota; Fungi
Description: eukaryotic LSU rRNA
Rfam family: Eukaryotic large subunit ribosomal RNA
Source: RNAcentral
AUAUCAAUAAGCGGAGGAAAAGAAACUAACAAGGAUUCCCCUAGUAACUGCGAGUGAAGAGGGAAGAGCUCAAAUUUAAAAUCUGGCUGUUCUUGAAGCAGUCCGAGUUGUAGUUUAGAGAAGUGUUAUCCGCGCUGGCCUGUGCAAAAGUUUCUUGGAAAAGAACAUCAUAGAGGGUGACAAUCCCGUCUUUGGCACAGAUUACCAGGGCUUUUGUGAUGCGCUCUCGACGAGUCGUGUUGUUUGGGAAUGCAGCACUAAAUGGGUGGUAAAUUCCAUCUAAAGCUAAAUAUUGGCGAGAGACCGAUAGCGAACAAGUACCGUGAGGGAAAGAUGAAAAGAACUUUGAAAAGAGAGUUAAACAGUACGUGAAAUUGUUGAAAGGGAAACGCUUGAAGUCAGUCGUGUCUUCCAGGGAUCAAGUCACCUUUGGGUGGCCGUACUUUCUGGUUGAUAGGUCAGCAUCAAUUUUGAUCAUUGGAUAAAGGCCUCGGGAAUGUGGCAUCUUCGGAUGUGUUAUAGACCUUGGUUGGAUACAAUGGUUGGGAUUGAGGAACUCAGUGUGCCUUCAUGGUUGGGGCUUUUGCUCACACCGCACGCUUAGGAUGCUGGCAUAAUGGCUUUAAUCGA